This 262-nucleotide ribosomal RNA is filed under the name uncultured archaeon. Its description in RNAcentral is "partial 16S ribosomal RNA". It matches the Rfam family "Archaeal small subunit ribosomal RNA", at positions 748 to 1009 of the family's 1478-position model. The record is from RNAcentral.
CAGCCGUAAACAAUGUGCGUUAGGUGUGUCGGUAACCACGUGUUACUGAUGCGCCGAAGAGAAAUCGUGAAACGCACCACCUGGGAAGUACGGUCGCAAGGCUGAAACUUAAAGGAAUUGGCGGGGGGAGCACCACAACAGGUGGAGCCUGCGGUUUAAUUGGAUUCAACGCCGGACAUCUCACCGGAUAAGACAGCUGAAUGAUUGUCAAUCUGAAGGUUUUACAUGACUAGCUGAGAGGAGGUGCAUGGCGUAGACGUCU